RNAcentral lists this ribosomal RNA (497 nucleotides) under uncultured bacterium. RNAcentral describes it as "partial 16S ribosomal RNA". It matches the Rfam family "Bacterial small subunit ribosomal RNA", at positions 28 to 507 of the family's 1533-position model. The record is from RNAcentral.
GAUGAACGCUGGCGGCGUGCCUAAUACAUGCAAGUCGAGCGAACAGACGAGGAGCUUGCUCCUCUGACGUUAGCGGCGGACGGGUGAGUAACACGUGGAUAACCUACCUAUAAGACUGGGAUAACUUCGGGAAACCGGAGCUAAUACCGGAUAAUAUAUUGAACCGCAUGGUUCAAUAGUGAAAGACGGUUUUGCUGUCACUUAUAGAUGGAUCCGCGCCGCAUUAGCUAGUUGGUAAGGUAACGGCUUACUAAGGCAACGAUGCGUAGCCGACCUGAGAGGGUGAUCGGCCACACUGGAACUGAGACACGGUCCAGACUCCUACGGGAGGCAGCAGUAGGGAAUCUUCCGCAAUGGGCGAAAGCCUGACGGAACAACGCCGCGUGAGUGAUGAAGGUCCUCGGAUCGUAAAACUCUGUUAUUAGGGAAGAACAAAUGUGUAAGUAACUAUGCACGUCUUGACGGUACCUAAUCAGAAAGCCACGGCUAACUACGUG